This 72-nucleotide transfer RNA is filed under the name Ameiurus melas (black bullhead). It matches the Rfam family "tRNA". Rfam says of the family: Transfer RNA (tRNA) molecules are approximately 80 nucleotides in length. Their secondary structure includes four short double-helical elements and three loops (D, anti-codon, and T loops). Further hydrogen bonds mediate the characteristic L-shaped molecular structure. tRNAs have two regions of fundamental functional importance: the anti-codon, which is responsible for specific mRNA codon recognition, and the 3' end, to which the tRNAs corresponding amino acid is attached (by aminoacyl-tRNA synthetases). tRNAs cope with the degeneracy of the genetic code in two manners: having more than one tRNA (with a specific anti-codon) for a particular amino acid; and 'wobble' base-pairing, i.e. permitting non-standard base-pairing at the 3rd anti-codon position. Lineage: Eukaryota; Metazoa; Chordata; Actinopteri; Siluriformes; Ictaluridae. The record is from Rfam by way of RNAcentral.
AGCAGAGUGGCGCAGCAGAAGCGUGCUGGGCCCAUAACCCAGAAGUCGAUGGAUCGAAGCCAUCCUCUGCUA